Molecule: ribosomal RNA, 1372 nt
Filed under: uncultured bacterium
Lineage: Bacteria
Description: bacterial SSU rRNA
Rfam family: Bacterial small subunit ribosomal RNA
Source: RNAcentral
GAUAAACGCUGGCGGCGUGCCUAAUACAUGCAAGUCGAGCGAACGGACGAGAAGCUUGCUUCUCUGAUGUUAGCGGCGGACGGGUGAGUAACACGUGGAUAACCUACCUAUAAGACUGGGAUAACUUCGGGAAACCGGAGCUAAUACCGGAUAAUAUUUUGAACCGCAUGGUUCAAAAGUGAAAGACGGUCUUGCUGUCACUUAUAGAUGGAUCCGCGCUGCAUUAGCUAGUUGGUAAGGUAACGGCUUACCAAGGCAACGAUGCAUAGCCGACCUGAGAGGGUGAUCGGCCACACUGGAACUGAGACACGGUCCAGACUCCUACGGGAGGCAGCAGUAGGGAAUCUUCCGCAAUGGGCGAAAGCCUGACGGAGCAACGCCGCGUGAGUGGUGAAGGUCUUCGGAUCGUAAAACUCUGUUAUUAGGGAAGAACAUAUGUGUAAGUAACUGUGCACAUCUUGACGGUACCUAAUCGGAAAGCCACGGCUAACUACGUGCCAGCAGCCGCGGUAAUACGUAGGUGGCAAGCGUUAUCCGGAAUUAUUGGGCGUAAAGCGCGCGUAGGCGGUUUUUUAAGUCUGAUGUGAAAGCCCACGGCUCAACCGUGGAGGGUCAUUGGAAACUGGAAAACUUGAGUGCAGAAGAGGAAAGUGGAAUUCCAUGUGUAGCGGUGAAAUGCGCAGAGAUAUGGAGGAACACCAGUGGCGAAGGCGACUUUCUGGUCUGUAACUGACGCUGAUGUGCGAAAGCGUGGGGAUCAAACAGGAUUAGAUACCCUGGUAGUCCACGCCGUAAACGAUGAGUGCUAAGUGUUAGGGGGUUUCCGCCCCUUAGUGCUGCAGCUAACGCAUUAAGCACUCCGCCUGGGGAGUACGACCGCAAGGUUGAAACUCAAGGGAAUUGACGGGGACCCGCACAAGCGGUGGAGCAUGUGGUUUAAUUCGAAGCAACGCGAAGAGCCUUACCAAAUCUUGACAUCCUUUGACAACUCUAGAGAUAGAGCCUUCCCCUUCGGGGGACAAAGUGACAGGUGGUGCAUGGUUGUCGUCAGCUCGUGUCGUGAGAUGUUGGGUUAAGUCCCGCAACGAGCGCAACCCUUAAGCUUAGUUGCCAUCAUUAAGUUGGGCACUCUAAGUUGACUGCCGGUGACAAACCGGAGGAAGGUGGGGAUGACGUCAAAUCAUCAUGCCCCUUAUGAUUUGGGCUACACACGUGCUACAAUGGACAAUACAAAGGGCAGCGAAACCGCGAGGUCAAGCAAAUCCCAUAAAGUUGUUCUCAGUUCGGAUUGUAGUCUGCAACUCGACUACAUGAAGCUGGAAUCGCUAGUAAUCGUAGAUCAGCAUGCUACGGUGAAUACGUUCCCGGGUCU